This 460-nucleotide ribosomal RNA is filed under the name uncultured bacterium. RNAcentral describes it as "partial 16S ribosomal RNA". It matches the Rfam family "Bacterial small subunit ribosomal RNA", at positions 338 to 795 of the family's 1533-position model. The record is from RNAcentral.
CCUACGGGAGGCAGCAGUGGGGAAUAUUGGUCAAUGGGCGCAAGCCUGAACCAGCCAAGUCGCGUGAGGGAUGACGGUCCUAUGGAUUGUAAACCUCUUUUAUAUGGGAAUAAAAUGUUCCACGUGUGGGAUUUUGUAUGUACCAUAUGAAUAAGGAUCGGCUCACUCCGUGCCAGCAGCCUCGGUAAUACGGAGGAUCCGAACGUUAUCCGGAUUUAUUCGGUUUAAGGGGACCGUAGGUGGAUUGUUAAGUCAGUUGUAAAAGUUUGCGGCUCAACCGUAAAAUUGCAGUUGAAACUGGCAGUCUUGAGUACAGUAGAGGGGGGCGGAAUUCGUGGUGUAGCGGUGAAAUGCUUAGAUAUCACGAAGAACUCCGAUUGCGAAGGCAGUUCACUGGACUGCAACUGACACUGAGGCUCGAAAGUGUGGGUAUCAAACAGGAUUAGAUACCCUUGUAGUC